GAUGAACGCUGGCGGCGUGCCUAAUACAUGCAAGUCGAGCGAACAGACGAGGAGCUUGCUCCUCUGACGUUAGCGGCGGACGGGUGAGUAACACGUGGAUAACCUACCUAUAAGACUGGGAUAACUUCGGGAAACCGGAGCUAAUACCGGAUAAUAUAUUGAACCGCAUGGUUCAAUAGUGAAAGACGGUUUUGCUGUCACUUAUAGAUGGAUCCGCGCCGCAUUAGCUAGUUGGCAAGGUAACGGCUUACCAAGGCAACGAUGCGUAGCCGACCUGAGAGGGGGAGCGGCCACACGGGAAGUGAGACACGGCCCAGACUCCGGCGGGAGGAAGCAGUGGGGAAUCUUCGGCAAUGGGCGAAAGCCUGACGGAGCAACGCCGCGUGGGUGAAGAAGUUCUUCGGAUCGUAAAGCUCUUUUUUUGGGAAAGAAAAAAUGGAGAAUAAAAUAUGCCUGUUUUGACGGUACCUAAAGAAAAAGCACCGGCUAACUACGUG
This 497-nucleotide ribosomal RNA is filed under the name uncultured bacterium. RNAcentral's name for it is "partial 16S ribosomal RNA". It matches the Rfam family "Bacterial small subunit ribosomal RNA", at positions 28 to 507 of the family's 1533-position model. The record is from RNAcentral.